Molecule: long non-coding RNA, 324 nt
Organism: Labrus mixtus (cuckoo wrasse)
Lineage: Eukaryota; Metazoa; Chordata; Actinopteri; Labriformes; Labridae
Exons: 3
Source: RefSeq, a predicted model, not a curated record
UGCCAGCUGCAGGUUGGUCUGAUCUCUCUCCUCCACCUCUUGGCUCUUCUGGUCGUAGUUGACGGCGAGCUCCUCCAGCGCCUGCAGCACCUCCUUCACCUCCUCCUUGGCCAGCUGGUUCUCCGUUUGCAGCCGGCACAGCUCCUCCUGGGAGGGACGUGGGGUCAGAUCUAUUCUUGUCUUCCAGCUGUUUGUACAGGUUGCUGAUGUCCUCCUCGUAUUUGCUCCGCUCGUGGCAACAAUAUUAUUUGACUUUUCUUUCACAAAGGGACGCAGCUCGGUGAAGGACCGUCUCCCCCCUGGUCAACAGAAGAGAGAGAGAGA